RNAcentral lists this ribosomal RNA (460 nucleotides) under uncultured bacterium. Its description in RNAcentral is "partial 16S ribosomal RNA". It matches the Rfam family "Bacterial small subunit ribosomal RNA", at positions 338 to 795 of the family's 1533-position model. The record is from RNAcentral.
CCUACGGGUGGCAGCAGUGAGGCAUAUUGGUCAAUGGGCGCGAGCCUGAACCAGCGAAGUAGCGUGAAGGAUGACUGCCCUACGGGUGGUACACUUCUUUUAUAAAGGAAUACAGUGAGUCACGUAUUCCUUUUUGUAUGUACUUUAUGAAUAAGGAUCGGCUAAAUCCGUGCCAGCAGCCGCGGUAAUACGGAGGAUACGAGCGUUAUCGGGAUUUAUUGGGUUUAAAGGGAGCGUAGAUGGGUUGUUAAGUCAGUUGUGAAAGUUUGAGGCUCAACCGUAAAAUUGCAAUUGAUACUGGCAGCCUUGAGUACAGUUGAGGUAGGCGGAAUUCGUGGUGUAGCGGUGAAAUGCUUAGAUAUCACGAAGAACUCCGAUUGCGAAGGCAGCCUACUAAACUGCCACUGACAUUGAUGCUCGAAAGUGUGGGUAUCAAACAGGAUUAGAUACCCCAGUAGUC